RNAcentral lists this long non-coding RNA (4737 nucleotides) under Nicotiana tabacum (common tobacco). RNAcentral's name for it is "long non-coding RNA (NTAB_LNC009411)". Lineage: Eukaryota; Viridiplantae; Streptophyta; Magnoliopsida; Solanales; Solanaceae. The record is from RNAcentral.
UAAGAAAAAAAAAGAACAUAGCCAAAUUUGAGAAAAAAGGCUUUGAAGCAUAAAAACAACUCCAUAUUAUUUGGAAAAAUAUAGACAAGUUUUAUCAGAAUACAAUAAAGGUACAAUAUAUUACGCCUACAAAUUAACUUAACCAUUUCUCACAGUUGGCCUGGAUUAUAUUUAUCAGUUUAAUGUAUCAAGAUUUUUUUAUAUAUAAAGUUUUCAAGCUGACCAUUUUUGUGUUUCAACGUAAGACAAGAAUUACUUCAUAUAUAUUACAGACUAUGUAACAGUACCUGGUGGCAAAUCUGCAGCGCCACAUUUGGAAACGUCAGGUCCGGGCACAGGAGCCGCGAAGGCAAAGGGAUGACCACCAACAAGAGUAGCAGCACCAUAAAUGCCUCCUAAUCCAAGUAGCAUGUUUCUUCUAUCAAUGAUCUUAUUGUUUGAAGAAUCAGAAGAUUUGGAAGUGUUGAUGGUUUGGUCAUCUUCUGUACCCUUGCAUGAAACUUGGAAACGAUAGUUACUGCACUUUCCUAUAGUGAAAACUUUUGAUGUCUUUGUAAAGAAAGGAGAAGAAUGCAAAUUGGAAAGAGGUGUGGUGGUUAAAGAAGAAGAUGAAGAAGAGAUGACAUUGGUGGUGAGAGGGGGAAGAGAAGCCAUUACUAUAAUUUUUGCUUUGUUUGAGGUGUAGUUCAUGAACAUCUAGGAUUAGCAUUUAUAUAGAAUAUGGAGCAAAGACUUUCCCCUAUAAACUUAUGGUGAAAAAGAAAAAUAAUACUAACCAAAAAGAAAUACAUGUCAGGAAGAUGCUUGCAUAUCUUAACUUCCAGCAGCACGUGAUUUUCUUCGUAUUUAUUUGUUUGUUUAAUUCGUAAUUUGAAAUCAUUAAUACAAAAAUCCACGUUCGUCUGAGGUGUUGUAAGACCUUUUUAUUUAUUUAUUUACAAGAAUGUAAGAACUUGAGUGAUCACUGCACAGCAUAAUACAGAAAUGGAAUUGUCCUUCUAGAUAUAGCUGGUUGGUUUAGAUUUUAGAAUUAAGAAAUUAAUGAUUUUUUCAAAUAUUGUGUCUGCCGUGUCAAAAUUUAAUUAGUUUAGACUUAUUUUUUUUAUUUACAAUUAAGAGCAAGUUCCGAUGCAAUCUCAAAACAGGAAGCAGCUUAUGAAGCUUCAACGCCUUCAAUUAUUCAACAAUUCAACAUGUAGAUAGAUAAUGGUGUUAACCAAUAUUAUAUUGUAAAUAUUUCGGGUUAGUGAGAGUCUUGAAGGGAGCACAUUUUUGACAUAGAAGGGAGCACAUUUUUAGGACAUUUUAGGAGAGGACAUUUUUAGGAGGGAUAGUUUUUAGAGAGGAUUAUUUUUGGAGAGAGGAAGACAUUCUGAAAAUCCUAAGAGAGUGUUGGAGAGUUUAAAAAGAAAAAACAAAAAUAAAGUGAGAGACGAGUUUAGUUUCGGGUUUAAUACACGCGUGAUUGAGUCUGUUUGUGAUGACGUGGGUUGUUGCUGUUUAGUAAUUCAAAUAAACAGGGGAAAAUAUUGCUCAUAAUUAACAAGUAGAUCAGUUUUACAAGUGCGUAUUAUUUUAUUUAUCCAGUUAGGCAAAGAAUCAAGACGUGCAGCCUUGUAUAACAUCAACCGACCAUUCAGUAUAAUGUCGAAAGAGUAGAAUAAGUGGAAAUUAAAAUAAUCUUGCUAAUUUUUUAAAUGCAGGUUAGAGGAUGCUAAAACCCUACAACGAGAGUGCUCGCAUAGCAAAAAGACCAUUGAGGUAGGGAAAAUUUUAUUUUGUCUGUCAUGCAACUAACAUUAGUUGUAUGAGGCAAUUUUUUUGUUUCACAAUUUUGUGGACCCAGAUUUCUGUGAACCCAGAAAUGUAAGAUUGAGGUCCACAAAUUUGUGAGAUAAAAAGGAGCCUCAUACAACUAGUAUAAGUUGUAUAAGACACAAAAUAAAACUUCUCGGAAGGUAGUACUGGUUUGCCCAUUCGGAUUUGUAAAUGCUGAACUUCAAUAUUUAAAAUGGUAGUGAACUCUUAAAAAACUUGUUAAAUAAGUUAAGCAAAUAAGUGCUCGUUUGGAUGAGUUUUUUAAAAUGAUUUUAAGCAAAUAAGUUAAGAAUUCUAGCUUUUGGCUUUUGGCUUGUUUUUGUCAUUUUAGCUUAAAAAUACGUGCUUAAAAGCACUUUUGUUACUUUAUCCAAAUACUACAAAAUGACUUAAAAGCUAUUUUGGCUUAAAAGCACUUAGUGGACGUUUGAACAUAAGAAUUGUAAAAUUCCAAAAAAAAAAAAUAAAAAAAAAUUCAAGUGAAAAUGAUAUUUGAAAUUUAGAGUUGUAUUUGGACAUGAAUAUCAUUUUGGAUUAUUUUUGAAGUUUUGUGAGUGAUCUGAGUGAAAAUUUUGAAAAACAAUUUUUUGGAGUUUUUCAAAUUUUCGAAAAAUUCCAAAAUACAUCUUAUGAAUAAACGAUGGUAACCUAUUUCCUGGAGGUGCGUGUUGGACUAACAUGGCCACCAAUCGACGACCUCACACUAGGAAAUAAUGUAAAAUUGGAAAUUGCCCUACUUAAUUAGUUUGAAAAACUACUAGUUGUAGUUAUAAUACAUGUAGAAGAAAAUGAUAAAAUAUCCAUGUAAGUAGUUUUCUUCCUUUAUUCCAUUCAAACACGCUUACAAUAUCAAGAAACUUAAAAUGCUUAAUUCAUUGAGGAAAUUGAUUAAAACCCUUUUAUUUUUCUAGUCAUAAUCAAUUCUCAAAGAUAGCGGGAAUACAGAAAUAUAAAAUAAGGUUGCGUAUAAUAGACUCUUGCGGUCUGAUCCUUUCCCGAAUCCCGUGUAUAGCGGGAGCUUAGUGCACUAGGUGUCAAUCAAUCCUCAAGCACAAUCUUGACACCUCCAAUUUUUACAGCACCAGAACCAUUCUUUGGAACAAAAGUCACCACCACAUGAUCAUCAUCCUCAGCAUCUAAAUCUUCCAACAGCUCAGUUAUAGCCAACUUCAACUUAGUUUUACGUUUCUUGUCACUCUUACCAUGACUAUGAUGUGGCACGUUAACAAAACUACCUGCAAACUCAGCAUUAUUCGGCGAAAUUACAGUCUCAUCUUCAUCAUUAAUCAACACAUCAAACUUGACAAAAACAUCAGUUUCCAGCUCUAUCCCUUCAACUACUAAAAACUCCUCUUUUGCAUCUUUCUCCUUCUUGUUUCUCUUCUUAAUUGGCCUCUUUACCAUAACUCUUAUCACAUGGUCAAGUUUCGUUGGGAAAACAUCUUUUGCACUUGGAAAAUUAUCAGCUGCUCUUGCUUCAACAAGCCUCCUUACACUACUCAAAGCACUUGAAACCCUAGCCCUUGGACGAGAAUUUAUCCACGGAUUAGCUACACCUUGAUAAACGUAUCCAAGUCUUGUUGUAUCCAAACAGUCACGUACCCUAAUACGUACCAUUUGUGCUUUCUCAUCAUAAAACAAAAACGAAGCAUUUAAGAAAUCAGGGUCAGUAAAAUCUUGACGUCUUCCACCUAGGGUUUUCCAAACACUCCACAAUCUAUCAAUAUUAGAAUGAUGAGCAUAGAAAAUAGGGUCUCUAGCAGCUGAAUAAAAAUCUCCCAUGUUCUCAAAAUUAGGUUGGGUUCUAUCACCGGUCCAAACAUGGACCGGUCCAUGUGGAAUGUUCUCGAGGGACCCAGCACCACCCGGUUCGCCACCGGCACGGUAAGGGUCUCCGAGGAAAGUCGCUGGAGUACUUCCUAGUGAAACCAUUUGCCUAUACAUGAUAGUGAGAUUUUGGGAAGUUUGUUGAGCGUUACUUAUGUUAGGAUCCGUUCCAUUGAAGUCGAGAUCGACCAUGACCGGAGGCUGAUGCCUCCGAUCACGGAGAGGAUCAAAGAGAGAAGAACUACGGUUCGCAUACAUGGCAGGAAGUCUCAUGCCAUCAGGAUGAUCCCAGUUCCAAAAUGGGAUAACGAAAGUAGGGUCAUUUAUCAAACUUCCCAAGAUUUUUUCGAAGAAGUAGAGAUAACAACGAUGAAAAGGGAGGAAAAGCCAAGAGAAAUGAACUUGGAGUUCAGAGUUUGGGAAACCUAGUUGGUCAUAGGCACCGUCACAGUAAGCACAAUGAACAUUUGCUUGUUGCCUGAAGCUACGUGGAUCAUCGUCUGGAAGUUGUUUCAUGAGCUGAAUAGCUCUGUUGAAUUUCUCUAUAUAGGCACUAUCGGCGGAAUGAGCUGCUGGCCGUGUACGGAGGGUGGCUGACGGUGGUGGAAGUUGGAAGUCGAUGAUGUUCGCCGUUGUCGGAGGACAACAGUUGACUGGUGCUGCACCUGUGACAAAAAUAGAAAUUAGACAAAUUUGAGACAAAAGGCUUUGAAGCGUAAAAACAACUCCAUAUUAUUUGGAAACAUAUAGACAACUUUUAUCAGAAUACAAUAAAAGUACAAUAUAUUAUACAUAUUAACCUAACCAUUUAUCAUAGAAGGCCUGGAUUUAUCAGUUUAAUGUAUCAAGAUUUUUUUAUUUAUAAAGCUUUCAAGCAAACCAUUUUUGUGUUUCAACGUAAGACAAGCUCAUGACUUCAUAGUUCAUAUAUAUUACAGACUAUGUAACAGUACCUGGUGGCAAAUCUGCAGGGCCACAUUUGGAAACGUCAGGUCCGGGCACAGGAGCCGCGAAGGCAAAGGGAUGACCACCAACAAGAGUAGCAGCACCAUAAAUGCCUCCUAAUCCAAGUAGCAUGUUUCUUCUAUCAAU